RNAcentral lists this ribosomal RNA (400 nucleotides) under uncultured bacterium. RNAcentral describes it as "bacterial SSU rRNA". It matches the Rfam family "Bacterial small subunit ribosomal RNA", at positions 355 to 750 of the family's 1533-position model. The record is from RNAcentral.
UUAAGAAUCUUGCACAAUGGGCGCAAGCCUGAUGCAGCGACGCCGCGUGGAUGAUGAAGGCCUUCGGGUUGUAAAGUCCGGUAAGCAGGGAAGAAUAAGCGCCGGGUAAUAUUCGGUGUGAUGACGGUACCUGCCUAAAGCCCCGGCUAACUACGUGCCAGCAGCCGCGGUAAUACGUAUGGGGCGAGCGUUGUUCGGAAUUAUUGGGCGUAAAGGGCGUCUAGGCGGGGAUUUAAGUUAGGUGUGAAAGCUAUGGGCUCAACCCAUAAAUUGCACCUAAAACUGGAUCUCUUGAGUUCGGGAGAGGAGAGCGGAAUUCCAGGUGUAGCGGUGAAAUGCGUAGAUAUCUGGAAGAACACCGGUGGCGAAGGCGACUUUCUGGCCCGAUACUGACGCUCAG